This 2899-nucleotide ribosomal RNA is filed under the name Klebsiella pneumoniae. RNAcentral describes it as "23S ribosomal RNA". It matches the Rfam family "Bacterial large subunit ribosomal RNA". The record is from RNAcentral. Lineage: Bacteria; Pseudomonadati; Pseudomonadota; Gammaproteobacteria; Enterobacterales; Enterobacteriaceae.
GGUUAAGCGACUAAGCGUACACGGUGGAUGCCCUGGCAGUCAGAGGCGAUGAAGGACGUGCUAAUCUGCGAAAAGCGUCGGUAAGGUGAUAUGAACCGUUAUAACCGGCGAUGUCCGAAUGGGGAAACCCAGUGCAAUUCGUUGCACUAUCGUUAACUGAAUACAUAGGUUAACGAGGCGAACCGGGGGAACUGAAACAUCUAAGUACCCCGAGGAAAAGAAAUCAACCGAGAUUCCCCCAGUAGCGGCGAGCGAACGGGGAGCAGCCCAGAGUCUGAAUCAGCUUGUGUGUUAGUGGAACGGUCUGGAAAGUCCGACGGUACAGGGUGAUAGUCCCGUACACCAAAAUGCACAGGCUGUGAACUCGAAGAGUAGGGCGGGACACGUGGUAUCCUGUCUGAAUAUGGGGGGACCAUCCUCCAAGGCUAAAUACUCCUGACUGACCGAUAGUGAACCAGUACCGUGAGGGAAAGGCGAAAAGAACCCCGGCGAGGGAGUGAAAAAGAACCUGAAACCGUGUACGUACAAGCAGUGGGAGCACCUUCGGGUGUGACUGCGUACCUUUUGUAUAAUGGGUCAGCGACUUAUAUUCUGUAGCAAGGUUAACCGUAUAGGGGAGCCGCAGGGAAACCGAGUCUUAACUGGGCGUUAAGUUGCAGGGUAUAGACCCGAAACCCGGUGAUCUAGCCAUGGGCAGGUUGAAGGUUGGGUAACACUAACUGGAGGACCGAACCGACUAAUGUUGAAAAAUUAGCGGAUGACUUGUGGCUGGGGGUGAAAGGCCAAUCAAACCGGGAGAUAGCUGGUUCUCCCCGAAAGCUAUUUAGGUAGCGCCUCGUGAAUUCAUCUUCGGGGGUAGAGCACUGUUUCGGCUAGGGGGUCAUCCCGACUUACCAACCCGAUGCAAACUACGAAUACCGAAGAAUGUUAUCACGGGAGACACACGGCGGGUGCUAACGUCCGUCGUGAAGAGGGAAACAACCCAGACCGCCAGCUAAGGUCCCAAAGUCAUGGUUAAGUGGGAAACGAUGUGGGAAGGCACAGACAGCCAGGAUGUUGGCUUAGAAGCAGCCAUCAUUUAAAGAAAGCGUAAUAGCUCACUGGUCGAGUCGGCCUGCGCGGAAGAUGUAACGGGGCUAAACCAUGCACCGAAGCUGCGGCAGCGACACUAUGUGUUGUUGGGUAGGGGAGCGUUCUGUAAGCCUGCGAAGGUGUGCUGUGAGGCAUGCUGGAGGUAUCAGAAGUGCGAAUGCUGACAUAAGUAACGAUAAAGCGGGUGAAAAGCCCGCUCGCCGGAAGACCAAGGGUUCCUGUCCAACGUUAAUCGGGGCAGGGUGAGUCGACCCCUAAGGCGAGGCCGAAAGGCGUAGUCGAUGGGAAACAGGUUAAUAUUCCUGUACUUGGUGUUACUGCGAAGGGGGACGGAGAAGGCUAUGUUAGCCGGGCGACGGUUGUCCCGGUUUAAGCAUGUAGGCUGGUUGUCCAGGCAAAUCCGGAUAAUCAAGGCUGAGGUGUGAUGACGAGGCACUACGGUGCUGAAGUAACAAAUGCCCUGCUUCCAGGAAAAGCCUCUAAGCAUCAGGUAACAUCAAAUCGUACCCCAAACCGACACAGGUGGUCAGGUAGAGAAUACCAAGGCGCUUGAGAGAACUCGGGUGAAGGAACUAGGCAAAAUGGUGCCGUAACUUCGGGAGAAGGCACGCUGGUGUGUAGGUGAAGCCCCUGCGGGUGGAGCUGAGACCAGUCGAAGAUACCAGCUGGCUGCAACUGUUUAUUAAAAACACAGCACUGUGCAAACACGAAAGUGGACGUAUACGGUGUGACGCCUGCCCGGUGCCGGAAGGUUAAUUGAUGGGGUUAUCCGUAAGGAGAAGCUCUUGAUCGAAGCCCCGGUAAACGGCGGCCGUAACUAUAACGGUCCUAAGGUAGCGAAAUUCCUUGUCGGGUAAGUUCCGACCUGCACGAAUGGCGUAAUGAUGGCCAGGCUGUCUCCACCCGAGACUCAGUGAAAUUGAACUCGCUGUGAAGAUGCAGUGUACCCGCGGCAAGACGGAAAGACCCCGUGAACCUUUACUAUAGCUUGACACUGAACAUUGAGCCUUGAUGUGUAGGAUAGGUGGGAGGCUUUGAAGCGUGGACGCCAGUCUGCGUGGAGCCAACCUUGAAAUACCACCCUUUAAUGUUUGAUGUUCUAACGUUGGCCCCUGACCGGGGUUGCGGACAGUGUCUGGUGGGUAGUUUGACUGGGGCGGUCUCCUCCCAAAGCGUAACGGAGGAGCACGAAGGUUAGCUAAUCCUGGUCGGACAUCAGGAGGUUAGUGCAAUGGCAUAAGCUAGCUUGACUGCGAGCGUGACGGCGCGAGCAGGUGCGAAAGCAGGUCAUAGUGAUCCGGUGGUUCUGAAUGGAAGGGCCAUCGCUCAACGGAUAAAAGGUACUCCGGGGAUAACAGGCUGAUACCGCCCAAGAGUUCAUAUCGACGGCGGUGUUUGGCACCUCGAUGUCGGCUCAUCACAUCCUGGGGCUGAAGUAGGUCCCAAGGGUAUGGCUGUUCGCCAUUUAAAGUGGUACGCGAGCUGGGUUUAGAACGUCGUGAGACAGUUCGGUCCCUAUCUGCCGUGGGCGCUGGAGAAUUGAGGGGGCUGCUCCUAGUACGAGAGGACCGGAGUGGACGCAUCACUGGUGUUCGGGUUGUCAUGCCAAUGGCACUGCCCGGUAGCUAAAUGCGGAAGAGAUAAGUGCUGAAAGCAUCUAAGCACGAAACUUGCCCCGAGAUGAGUUCUCCCUGAGACUUUAAGUCUCCUGAAGGAACGUUGAAGACGACGACGUUGAUAGGCCGGGUGUGUAAGCGCAGCGAUGCGUUGAGCUAACCGGUACUAAUGAACCGUGAGGCUUAACCUU